This 458-nucleotide ribosomal RNA is filed under the name uncultured bacterium. RNAcentral's name for it is "partial 16S ribosomal RNA". It matches the Rfam family "Bacterial small subunit ribosomal RNA", at positions 355 to 803 of the family's 1533-position model. The record is from RNAcentral.
UGGGGAAUUUUGGACGAAUUGGGCGAAAGCCUGAUCCAGCAAUGCCGCGUGUGUGAAGAAGGCCUUCGGGUUGUAAAGCACUUUUGUCCGGAAAGAAAUCCUUGGCUCUAAUACAGUCGGGGGAUACGGUACCGGAAGAAUAAGCACCGGCUAACUACGUGCCAGCAGCCGCGGUAAUACGUAGGGUGCAAGCGUUAAUCGGAAUUACUGGGCGUAAAGCGUGCGCAGGCGGUUUGCUAAGACCGAUGUGAAAUCCCCGGGCUCAACCUGGGAACUGCAUUGGUGACUGGCAGGCUAGAGUAUGGCAGAGGGGGGUUAGAAUUCCACGUGUAGCAGUGAAAUGCGUAGAGAUGUGGAGGAAUACCGAUGGCGAAGGCAGCCCCCUGGGCCAAUACUGACGCUCAUGCACGAAAGCGUGGGGAGCAAACAGGAUUNGAUACCCUGGUAGUCCACGCCCU